Molecule: non-coding RNA, 909 nt
Organism: Pelobates cultripes (western spadefoot toad)
Lineage: Eukaryota; Metazoa; Chordata; Amphibia; Anura; Pelobatidae
Source: the annotation of a GenBank genome assembly
AUUGAAAGAUAGUGAUCAUAUGAAGCUAUUUAUUAUAACAUAGUUGUAUGUCUCCUUUUUAAAUCAUAAUGGUAACAUACAUCACCCAAAUGGCCCGAAUCAAAUGUUUACAUACCCUUGAAUGUUUGGCCUUGUUACAGACACACAAGGUGACACACACAGGUUAAAAUGGCAACUAAAGGUUAAUUUCCCACAUCUGUGGUUUUCUAAAUUGCAAUUAGUGUCUGUGUAUAAAUAGUCAGUUUGUUAGCUCUCACAUGGAUGCACUGAGCAGGCUAGAUACUGAGCCAUGGGGAGCAGAAAAGAACUGUCAAAAGACCUGCGUAAGGGGGCAGAAUCUGUCUUCCAUGCAGAGCUGACGUGUUUCACCUGAGCUCCUGCUGAUAGAAUCGAUUUGGGGGUGACAAACCUGAUAACACUGCAGCCACACUCUAUGCGGGGCUCCCCUAAUGUGAGGGGUUCUUUGCUGUACAUACCGCAACUUACCUUGAUCCUUUCAUCCACCAAAGACCCAAAAACUCUGCUGGGGCCUACUGGGGACAGAGCUGGGGGGGAGUGGCCACUCUCAUCGCUUCCAGAAGCUUGGUAUUGCUACGCUCUUACCCACCCGGACCGACAGGGUUAUCCCGCUCCCCACUAGACGCACUGGGACUACUCACUCUGCACCAACCUUACGACUUGAAGUGGCCACUGACGGCAUCACACCUACACAGAGGCUCCAAGAUGGAGAGUGACCCCUAGCUGGACUACCCACAUGUCAGAAGCCUUACUGCGACACAGUCAAAUCUGCCUUGCAGCGCCUGGAUACCAUCUUUGAAUGCUUCUGGCUGAAAAUACAGGAGCGUUCACAAGCAACCUUGCCUAAGCGACAGGAGACAAGGGGUUAGGCUUCCUGCUGGAGCAGAGCGG